RNAcentral lists this long non-coding RNA (353 nucleotides) under Portunus trituberculatus (swimming crab). Its description in RNAcentral is "uncharacterized LOC123505877, transcript variant X2". Lineage: Eukaryota; Metazoa; Arthropoda; Malacostraca; Decapoda; Portunidae. The record is from RNAcentral.
UGUCAGCUGUCCGUCUGUCCCUCUAUUCCAGGCCAUCUCAGCUCAAGUUCUAAUCUCAUCUCCUCAUCUUUACUUCCCUGCCUGCCCGGACUUCCCUCGCCACUCCAAGGCCACUAAUGUCUUCCCUCUUACUCUGUGAUCGUUUCUAUACUUCUCUUUGUUUUUCAGGAUUCUUUUAGUUGUCUAUGUUAAAAAAAAUAUAUACUUUCUUUUUUAGAUAUAUAGAUGGAAUUGGCUUUCAAAUGGUACUACUGACACCGCCACGUCACUCACUGCAGAGGCACAAAAUGACAUACGCGAAGGAAGUGGGUUUGAAAUGGUACUAUUGACACCGCCACGCCACUCACUGCAGG